AUACGUAGGGGGCGAGCGUUGUCAGGAAUGAUUGGGCGUAAAGGGCGCGUAGGCGGCCCGGUAAGUCUGGAGUGAAAGUCCUGUUUUUAAGAUGGGAAUUGCUUUGGAUACUGUCGGGCUUGAGUGAAGGAGAGGUAAGUGGAAUUCCCAGUGUAGCGGUGAAAUGCGUAGAGAUUGGGAGGAACACCAGUGGCGAAGGCGACUUACUGGACUGUAACUGACGCUGAGGCGCGAAAGUGUGGGGAGCAAACAGGAUUAGAUACCCUGGUAGUCCACACUGUAAACGAUGAAUGCUAGGUGUAGGGGGUAUCGACCCCUUCUGUGCCGCAGUCAACACAAUAAGCAUUCCGCCUGGGGAGUACGGCCGCAAGGUUGAAACGCAAAGGAAUUGGCGGGG
RNAcentral lists this ribosomal RNA (397 nucleotides) under uncultured bacterium. RNAcentral's name for it is "partial 16S ribosomal RNA". It matches the Rfam family "Bacterial small subunit ribosomal RNA", at positions 523 to 918 of the family's 1533-position model. The record is from RNAcentral.